Molecule: long non-coding RNA, 989 nt
Filed under: Anser brachyrhynchus (Pink-footed goose)
Lineage: Eukaryota; Metazoa; Chordata; Aves; Anseriformes; Anatidae
Description: lncRNA (ENSABRG00000012771.1)
Source: RNAcentral
CAAAUAUAAAUCAUUUCAUUGCUCAGCCCCAAGCGGAGAUGAUAUCUGCCUUAAGAAUAGCUACUUCAAAGAAGUUCAGAACACAUUUGCAUAAAGCAGUUGUCAGAUUGUUUGUGUUUAGUUCAAGGGGAUGAAAAUUAAUUGUAAAAUGCCAUGUGGGAAAUUUGUUCAUGCAGUGUCCAUAGGGAUGUACGACUUCAUAACUUGGAUUUUACACAGAAUGGUUCAAAGGACAAAUUUUAAAAUCAUAUUUCCCCUCCCAUUAUGGUUAAGUACACAGGCACAUCUCAAUGGACUACAAAUUGCUUGUGUUUGCUUAAGUUCUGCUAAUAAACCAUCUCUGGAAGGGGUGCCUAUUUGGAGUAAUUAAAUAGUUGGCUCCUGUGGUGGUAAAUGGAAAACAUAGCAGAAGAAAACGUGAUUUUCCACAACACUGAAUUAGAGACACACCUCAAAGAGGUAUCUAGUGUGAUUGACUGAAAACAAAAAUAACUUUCCCUCUACUUUUGAAGAUGAGAAAAAAACAGGUGGAGGAGGCCUGCAAGGGAAUGUAUCCCCACCAUGUGAAUAUUGCAUAUUCCUGUGAGGACAGAAAACAAAGCUUACAAAAGAGAGUGCCAUAUAUUUCAUCAAUGAAUGGAAAGUUGCUGCAAGAACUCAGAGAAAAAUGCAUGUGGCAUUUCAGAAACUUUCAGGUUGAAAUCAAAGGCCUACUCAUUUUGAAAGCAGGUUUGUGGAGAAAAAGUUGCAUAUUCUUCUUGUGUAGGUAUUUCUAUGUUGUUUCAGGGGUAUAUAUUUGUGUGUUUGUUUUUUUGUUUGUUUGUGUGGGUUUUUUUAUGCCUGUUUCUCAAUUAAGAUUGUCUGGCUGUGAGACUUUUUUGGAAAUAUAAUUCUUUUGCUGCUGUAUGUCUGACAUGAAAAAUUUUUUAAACAUCUAUAAGAUGUGUUGUCAUGGUCAAAUGAAAUAAAAAAUGAAUCUUUUUAACUCA